Molecule: ribosomal RNA, 482 nt
Filed under: uncultured bacterium
Lineage: Bacteria
Description: partial 16S ribosomal RNA
Rfam family: Bacterial small subunit ribosomal RNA
Source: RNAcentral
AUUGAACGCUGGCGGCAUGCUUUACACAUGCAAGUCGAACGGUAACAGGCCGCAAGGUGCUGACGAGUGGCGAACGGGUGAGUAAUGCAUCGGAACGUGCCCAGUCGUGGGGGAUAACUACUCGAAGGAGUAGCUAAUACCGCAUACGAUCUAUGGAUGAAAGCGGGGGACCGUAAGGCCUCGCGCGAUUGGAGCGGCCGAUGUCAGAUUAGGUAGUUGGUGGGGUAAAGGCUCACCAAGCCAACGAUCUGUAGCUGGUCUGAGAGGACGACCAGCCACACUGGGACUGAGACACGGCCCAGACUCCUACGGGAGGCAGCAGUGGGGAAUUUUGGACAAUGGGCGCAAGCCUGAUCCAGCAAUGCCGCGUGCAGGAAGAAGGCCCUCGGGUUGUAAACUGCUUUUGUACGGAACGAAACGGCUCUGGUUAAUACCCGGGGCUAAUGACGGUACCGUAAGAAUAAGCACCGGCUAACUACGUG